RNAcentral lists this ribosomal RNA (200 nucleotides) under uncultured bacterium. RNAcentral's name for it is "partial 16S ribosomal RNA". It matches the Rfam family "Bacterial small subunit ribosomal RNA", at positions 30 to 230 of the family's 1533-position model. The record is from RNAcentral.
AUUGAACGCUGGCGGCAUGCCUUACACAUGCAAGUCGAACGGCAGCACGGGAGCAAUCCUGGUGGCGAGUGGCGAACGGGUGAGUAAUACAUCGGAACGUGCCCAAUCGUGGGGGAUAACGCAGCGAAAGCUGUGCUAAUACCGCAUAAGAUCUACGGAUGAAAGCAGGGGACCGCAAGGCCUUGCGCGAAUGGAGCAGC